AUGGGGUCUUCUACUGACUUAAAAGGGGUCUUGAUCAGUCCUUUUAUUUAUUUAAGGUGGGUUUUUCAAAGGAACCUGUGGGUAUUAGGUACCCAAAUUACAUUGAAGAACUGAAAAAAAAAAAAGUCAAAAUCAUGAAGUUUCCUGACUACAAAUCCAGCUCCCAUCUGCCCAGAAGCUCCAUCUCUGUGCUGGUCCAAGGCCUCCCUGCACCCCUAUGUACCCAGCGGCUUCUCACCCGGGGCGUGCCAGAGGCCACUCUAUGCUGUAACAGGGGUUCCCCCAGCAGGGAAGAGAAGGAAGAGUUGCUGCAGCCCCAGAACCUUCACAAACCCAUUUGGAGCUCCAGGUUCCAUAAGAAAUGUGAUGGAGUCCUCUGUGAUACCUGGCGUGAAUCCUAGGAGUCCUAGAAGAGGACACGGACUAUUUUGUGCCAUCUCCUCAUAGCACAUGGAUUAAGCUCUUUGCAGGCCCCCGAUCCAAACACUAGUCCCUCAACCUUACCUCCUUGCCUUGCCAGCGAACCAGAGGCAUAAUGGGACACUCACUGAGUCCGCUCACACAUGGCACAGGAGGGAGGAGCUCCAUCGCUCGGCGGCUGGCCUCACUCCCAUCCUGUGUGGGAGGAAGAGCCAGUGUUGGGAAGCAGCUGAUUCCAUGCACCAAGGAGAAACCAGCCCCCUCACCUUCCGCGGAGUGUCACCGGGCAGGAGGGCUGCUUGGCUCAACCUCCAUCACGGUCAAUUUCAUUCUGUGCUCCCCUGCCCCCACCCGCAGUCUGUGUGCGCAUGCAUGGUAGGGAGCGUGACUGCAGGCUGGCUCCCAGAACCAGCUGGCAGCAGGUGGGAGCUCUCACAGCAAAACCCAGGCAACAGAACUGACACACACACAAAGAAUCCAAUAGCCCAUGACAGAUGGCUCCAGCAGCUUGCAUCCUCCCCUCACCCCCCAUCUUUUCCCUUUCUCUGCUUUUUUUCAUUCACUUCCCCUCUCCUUUCUUUUCUUUCACGUCUCCUCCUCUAGACUUUUUCUCUCAUUUCUUUUUCUUAUUUCAGCCUUCACUGCUCCCUCUCCCCAACCACUUUUUGCUCCCUCUCUUUCCUCCUUCCUAUCUCAUCUCUGUGCAUUUAUUUGUUUUAUGAAGUUUGAGCUGCUGGAAGGACAGACCUGCAGACAUCCAGGUUGGGAGCUGCACGGGAACCAGAAUUUCCAUUCUGCAGGAAAUUCCAUGAUUUCCUCAUGUAUUUUCUUUCCAAAUCAGGGGGGGGAAAAAAGUCAAAUUUCAAACUUCCCCAUGAAGUGAAAUGUUGUUUUGGGCCAAUCGAAGGGUUUCAUUUCAAUAAAAGCCAAAGGUUGGGUUACAAUUUUUAAAAUUUAAGCCUUUUUUAAAAUAACAAAAUAAUUUUUUUGCAACAAAAACUCAUUUCAAAACCCCAAAUCGAAACAUUCCAUUCCCAAACUGUCAAAAUGGAAGAGCCAUGGGGACGGAACAGGUCAGUGGCCAGGCUGGGAACAGAGUCCUGUGUCCUAAGCCACAUGGGCGGAACUUUUUGACCUUGUCAAAAUGCUUCCUUUCUAUUGUUUUGAAAGUAAAAUGUUGUUGAAAUUGACACGUUCCUGCAGAAAAUUUUGAUUUUGACAAAAUGGCAUUUUCUAGCCAUCUCUUUGGCCCAGAUCCUGAAAGGUAUUUAGGCUCCUAACUUCCACUAAAUCGCUGUCUCACAGUGCAUUUUAGCCCUAUUCUUUCUCCACUGUUCUUCCACCUUCCCCUUCCCCUUUCCCAGCAUCGCUUAUUCUCUCCCAACUGCCCUUCUCCCAGGAAAGACUCCUCCUCUCUCAUUGCCCAUGUUACCCUGCCUGCAAUGGCAGUGAAGGGUUAAAGGGAGCUCAGUUAGCCUGUUCUGUGGCACCUGCUGGCAGACAGGUCGUUAAGGAUUAGACCCAGCUGGGGAGAACCAGCCUGGGUAGUUCCUAUAAAGGAAGGACUGCAGGGAGUUGAGGAAAGCUGCAGUAGGGAGUGUGAACAUUAGGACUGGUCUUGCGGGGGAGGGUUACAGGAGAGAAGGGAACAUUUGGAGCUGACUAGGGAAACUGAGGCAAUGCUGCAUGAGCCACAAAGUGGCAAAGGAAGCAGGCGCCUCCAGCCCCGGAUCUGUUCUGUGAAAGGAACUGGGAGGCAGAUGAAGUGCACUCAGCAGCCCUGCUCUAGACAGCGGAUCCUUCCCUCCUCGGGGGAGCCUGGCGCAGUUAAAUCCCUUUAUGGACAGGCUGAGCCCUUAAUCAAAGUCAGCGUCAAUCCGCCGAGGUCAAGCUCCACAACCAGGGAACUAUGGGAUUGGAUUCACCUGAGCAGGAGCUGCCAUUGCCCUGCUCCAGAGUCUUUCUUGCACCUCGUUUCCAAGCAUCCUUGCUUUGUGCCUGCCUGAGGAGCCUCUUCGCUCGGUCCUGACGUGGGCCACCAAUUUCUCCAGCCACGUCCCUGUCCAACGCUUGAUGCGUGUCAAUAUCCACAGAGAGCCCCUGCAAUGCGGCCGCCUCUGGGGGCGAGGGCAGCAGCCAGGUGGACAACUGAUGCAGCGAACAGUCAUCCAUUGUAUGAAUGGGUGGUCGGGAGUCAAGCCUCUGUUCUACAUCUCCUCACACGACCUCCUGCAGCAUGGUGCCCCUAGCACCACCCUGCAGUGGUGGUUCGGGGGGAGAUUGCCACAUACUGGAGGAUAAAGACUACUUUCUCCAGCACCUAGGUCCCUUCCUCCUAACACACUCUGCUCAAUCAAUCAGAAAAAGGCUGAGCAAAGAAACAGACUUUGCAGUGUGCUCUGAAGCUCAGUGAACUUGCGCUGUAGCCGAUCAAGGAGAUGCAAAUGGCAUAGACAAGAAUGCCCUUGGCUGAAAAGACUCUGCCCUAGCUAGCCCCAGUGUGAGGGGCCAUCCACAGUCCAAGGAAUGCUCAAGGACAAGACGUGGGGUUCUCUCAAACCUGCUCCCCCACCUGGUCUGAACUGUUGGCUGAACACAGAAGCAGAGCGGGGGAGUCUCCCGCCGCUUCUCCAUUUCUCAACUCCUGCAAUUUUGGGGGCUAAACAUGUGGCCAGAAUAUAACUCUAUCCUGACUCCUUACUCCGAUGAUGUGGGGUGAGAAAAAAAGACCAGGGUGAAUCGCCUCCAUGACCUGAGCAUCCUCCAGACUUUCAACAUUAGGGGGCCAAGGUUCUGCUGGUGGAACAUAUGGCUGGAGUGGUGGCUGGUGUGGGUAUGUCGGUAGUGCAAGCUACCCGCCGGCUGGGUUUCUCUGGGUGGGGACAGCCUGCCAGGGCAGCACAGAAAGGAGAUGGGGGACAGAUCCUUUGGUCCAAUGUCUCUUUUGGGCAGAUGCUGCCAACAUGGUUCCUACAUUCAAACCUAGUGGAGUAUGUCAGAGGACUCGGGGGUGGUGUCCCACAUGGGCAUAUCUGAGUCCAUCCCUUGCACCUAGGCCCAUUGCUGCUUUUUUUCUGGCAUACCAAGAGUCAUGCCCUAAAUAGCUGAUUAAACUCUUCAUUCACCACAUCCCUCUCCAGUGCCCCUACGGGCCCCUUGUCUCUCUCACACAAACGGGCCAGAUGCUCAGCUGCUGUAAACUGGCAUAUUGGAGUGAUGCCAGUUUACACCAGCUGAAGAUCUGGCUUAUUACAGUGAAGGGAAAGCAUGGAUCCUUUAGUUUAAGAAAACGUGUCUACAUCACACAAGCACCCCCACAACCACCCACUAUUACCCCAUUGGUAGAGGGAGCAAGGCAGAGAUUCUGAUUUCAGUGACACCAUCUGCCCCAGGGCAAUUCCACUGAUUUUAACUGGGAGAUCAGAAUCAGGCCCCCAAGAGUUUAAGAACAGGCAUGGACAGGGCCGGUGGGCAGAGUCAUUAGAAGUCAGUGGUAGAAACCCCAUAGUUCUACCAGGGUAAAACAAUUCAGGGGUUUUGGCCCCACUUCAGCUUCCCAAACACAGUCUGGGUGUCAAGUUUCUGCUACAAAAUGAAGGCUUGAAUGCACACUGAAGGUUCUUCAUGUGGACUUCUUUCUUACCCAUCUGAGAGAGAUUGGAGGCACGUGGUAGGGUAAUGAGGUAAAGUGGAGGUGCACAGUAGGGUAACAUGUCAUUGCCUGCAUUGUGGAUGCACAAAGGAUUCGGUCUCCAGGGAUGGCAACCCAAUAUUUCUAGAUGCUAGGUCCCCAAACAUCAUCUGGGGGGUGGGCCUUUUGUCCCUUUGGUGGGCUCCACCCCCAUCCCAGGAUUUAAAUAGGCUGGCAUGUUUCACCCCCCACUGCAGAAAAAAACACCGACAUCCACCCUGCAAAGGGAUACAGAUAGAAUAAAGUGAUGCUUGUCAGUCACCUUGGUGGGUCUGACGGGACUUUGCACAAGGCUGCUGAAUUUGAGCUGAGUACCUGCACCGGAGUCGGUUUGGAUAUUGCUGACUCUGAACUUUGAUUUAAUUACACAGAAAUAGAAAUUCCUCAAUGCAUUGUAAUGCGUCCCAGUCUGAGUCGUAAAUGCAUCCUGGCCUCUCUCCCAUGUGCUUUUUAUAACUUUGGUUUCAGAUGACAAACCUGAUUGUACAACAGCCUUCCUGGACAGAAGAGCUAGAGCUGUAAUGGGGCCAACUCCAUCUUGACCAUAAUUCCCCUGACUUCAGUGGAGUUACAGCAGGGACACAUUUGACCUGAGCUGUCACUGUCUUACUUCUAAUUAGCACCCAACAGUAGUUGGCUCAGCGGCAUGAAAGGCUGGUUCAGCUCAGGCAGAGCAUUUGCUAGCCUGAUGCAAAGUCAAUGGGACUCUUUCUGCUGCCUUCAAUGUGUUUUGGAGUGGGCCCUAACAGAACUGUGGUGCAUGCUCAGAUGUUGAACUAUAUCCAGCUAUGAUCAGGUUAUCAGAGUCCCCCAAUGAAUGGUCACCCAGUCUGUCAGAACUUUGGAUCCCGCAUGCAUCCAAGCCGGCUGACACUGAGUGGCUGGGCUUUAAGUCCCACCUGUGACACAGCCAGGUUGGGAAAAUGAAGGUCACGUGACCCAA
Molecule: long non-coding RNA, 5054 nt
Organism: Mauremys reevesii (Reeves's turtle)
Lineage: Eukaryota; Metazoa; Chordata; Testudines; Geoemydidae
Exons: 6
Source: RefSeq, a predicted model, not a curated record